RNAcentral lists this non-coding RNA (27 nucleotides) under Mus musculus (house mouse). The record is from RNAcentral. Lineage: Eukaryota; Metazoa; Chordata; Mammalia; Rodentia; Muridae.
UGCUGUGGUGCCUCAAGGUCUGAAAGG